Molecule: non-coding RNA, 624 nt
Organism: Lactuca sativa (garden lettuce)
Lineage: Eukaryota; Viridiplantae; Streptophyta; Magnoliopsida; Asterales; Asteraceae
Source: RefSeq, a predicted model, not a curated record
UUUUAUUGGUCAAUUUAAGAGGAAACCUUCAGAUCAUCGUCCAGGUUGCCAAGGAGUAUUGUGAGCAGCUGGGUGUUGAAUCAUGCAUUAAAAUUUUCGAACAAUUUAAAUCAUAUGAAGGCCUUUACUUCUUCUUGGGGUCGUAUUUGAGCUCAAGUGAGGAUCCUGACAUACACUUCAAGUACAUCGAGGCAACUGCAAAGACAGGGCAAAUCAAGGAGGUUGAACGAGUAACACGGGAAUCAAAUUUCUAUGAUGCUGAAAAGACCAAGAAUUUCCUAAUGGAAGCCAAGCUUCCUGAUGCAAGGCCAUUAAUCAACGUGUGUGAUCGCUUUGGCUUUGUUCCAGAUCUCACUCACUACCUUUAUACCAACAACAUGCUUCGGUAUAUCGAAGGUUAUGUUUAGAAGGUCAACCCAGGGAAUGCUCCCUUAGUUGUCGGACAACUCCUAGACGAUGAAUGCCCCGAGGAUUUCAUCAAAGGUUUAAUCCUAUCCGUUCGAUCUCUUCUUCCAGUCGAGCCUCUUGUGGAUGAGUGUGAAAAAAGGAACCGACUUCGUUUACUAACUCAAUUUCUAGAACACCUAGUAAGUGAAGGAAGCCAAGACGUCCACGUCCACAACG